RNAcentral lists this transfer RNA (73 nucleotides) under Bacteroidota bacterium. RNAcentral describes it as "Bacteroidetes bacterium (marine metagenome) tRNA-Arg". It matches the Rfam family "tRNA". From Rfam's summary of the family: Transfer RNA (tRNA) molecules are approximately 80 nucleotides in length. Lineage: Bacteria; Pseudomonadati; Bacteroidota. The record is from RNAcentral.
GCUCCUAUGGUGUAAUGGAUUAGCAUUAUUGAAUACGGAUCAGUGGGUAGGAGUUCGAAUCUUCUUAGGAGUA